Molecule: ribosomal RNA, 429 nt
Filed under: Verrucomicrobiota bacterium
Lineage: Bacteria; Pseudomonadati; Verrucomicrobiota
Description: Verrucomicrobia bacterium partial 16S ribosomal RNA
Rfam family: Bacterial small subunit ribosomal RNA
Source: RNAcentral
UAGGGAAUCUUCCGCAAUGGACGAAAGUCUGACGGAGCAACGCCGCGUGAGUGAAGAAGGAUUUCGGUUCGUAAAACUCUGUUGUUAGGGAAGAAAAAAUGUAUAGUAACUAUAUACAAAAGAGACGGUACCUAACCAGAAAGCCACGGCUAACUACGUGCCAGCAGCCGCGGUAAUACGUAGGUGGCAAGCGUUGUCCGGAAUUAUUGGGCGUAAAGCGCGCGCAGGUGGUUUAGAAAGUCUGAUGUGAAAGCCCACGGCUCAACCGUGGGGGGUCAUUGGAAACUAAUAAACUUGAGUGCAGGGGAGAAAAGUGGAAUUCCUAGUGUAGCGGUGAAAUGCGUAGAGAUUAGGAGGAACACCGGUGGCGAAAGCGGCUUUUUGGCCUGCAACUGACACUGAGGCGCGAAAGCGUGGGGAGCAAACAGG